RNAcentral lists this ribosomal RNA (429 nucleotides) under uncultured bacterium. RNAcentral's name for it is "bacterial SSU rRNA". It matches the Rfam family "Bacterial small subunit ribosomal RNA", at positions 355 to 776 of the family's 1533-position model. The record is from RNAcentral.
UGGGGAAUUUUGGACAAUGGGGGCAACCCUGAUCCAGCCAUGCCGCGUGAGUGAAGAAGGCCUUCGGGUUGUAAAGCUCUUUCAGCCGGGAAGAAAACGCAUGGGUUAAUACCCUGUGUGGAUGACGGUACCGGAAUAAGAAGCACCGGCUAACUACGUGCCAGCAGCCGCGGUAAUACGUAGGGUGCGAGCGUUAAUCGGAAUUACUGGGCGUAAAGCGUGCGCAGGCGGUUUGUUAAGAUAGGCGUGAAAUCCCCGGGCUCAACCUGGGAACUGCGUUUAUGACUGGCAGGCUAGAGUAUGGCAGAGGGGGGUGGAAUUCCACGUGUAGCAGUGAAAUGCGUAGAGAUGUGGAGGAACACCGAUGGCGAAGGCAGCCCCCUGGGCCAAUACUGACGCUCAUGCACGAAAGCGUGGGUAGCAAACAGG